CCUACGGGCGGCAGCAGUGAGGAAUAUUGGUCAAUGGACGGAAGUCUGAACCAGCCAUGUCGCGUGCAGGAUGACGGCUCUAUGAGUUGUAAACCUCUUUUGUCCGAGAGCAAUGGUUCUCACGUGUAGGGCUUUGAGUGUAUCGUACGAAAAAGGAUCGGCUAACUCCGUGCCAGCAGCCGCGGUAAUACGGAGGAUUCGAGCGUUAUCCGGCUUUAUUGGGUUUAAAGGGUGCGUAGGCUGUUGGAUAAGUUAGAGGUCAAAUGUCGGGGCUUAACCCCGUUCCUGCCUUUGAUACUGUUGGACUAGAGAGAGCAUGAAGCAGGCGGAAUGAGUAGUGUAGCGGUGAAAUGCAUAGAUAUUACUCAGAACACCGAUUGCGAAGGCAGCAUGC
RNAcentral lists this ribosomal RNA (394 nucleotides) under uncultured bacterium. Its description in RNAcentral is "partial 16S ribosomal RNA". It matches the Rfam family "Bacterial small subunit ribosomal RNA", at positions 338 to 729 of the family's 1533-position model. The record is from RNAcentral.